Molecule: long non-coding RNA, 1588 nt
Filed under: Meriones unguiculatus (Mongolian gerbil)
Lineage: Eukaryota; Metazoa; Chordata; Mammalia; Rodentia; Muridae
Description: lncRNA (ENSMUGG00000023326.1)
Source: RNAcentral
UGCCUCCUUACUGUGCAGACACUGCUGCAAUCCAGCUGCCCCGCCUCCCUAAGAAUCCAGAUACAGCUGUAUCUGAGAGAAAACACCACUGAGCUAAGCCAGCUCACCGGGCUCACAUACUUAGUCUAACUUCAAUUUAACAGUAACCAACAGAGCCUGACUGAGACUUUGGACUAAGUGGUCAUACUCUCCCUGGCAUUGAACUCCAUUAAUCGCCAUUGUGUUUGGUCUUCCCUGCCCACAUUCACCACCUAUUUUAGACAGCACAUGACUCUGACUCACGAAAAAAAAAGGAGUGAAGCCUGCACAAAAGGCUUGAAAGCGUGGCUCACACCCACUCCCUUGAGCAAGAUCCCUGAAACACUCGUGUCUCAGCAUCCAAGGGUCCUGAGUGGCAGUGCCUGCAAGAGCAUACAUGUGAAGCAGCAAAAUCUGAAACGGAAACUGGAAACUCACAGAGCCUGGGAGCCACAGCAGAUGCUGAGGACUCUGGGCUAUUCGCAUGAACUUAUGAAAAGGAAUUCCUUGUCCAGUGAGUCCCCUGGGGAGUCUGCUGGAGGUUGUUCGCUUAUUCUGAGCACCAAGUGAGUGUAGAGCAGGUCCUCUGCUGCUCCGGAUGAAACUAUCAGGGACUACACCCAUGUGUAAGUCUGGAAGUCUGAAAAGCCUCAAAUGUACCUGAAGUCUGGCCUCUAUGCUGUCAGUGUGCUCCCAUUUAAACAGCUACAGUUUCUGUGUAUCUUUCUCUGGAAGGCCCACUCAUUUUAAAAUGUAAAACUGCCCAGUUCUUAGAUGUGGGUGUUAUACCCAGUUCGUGAGCCCCCAAAAGAUCUCCAGGAAUUGACUCCGUUGCAAAACACAUGAGGGUCUUUUUAUUGUAAAUUACAAGCUGCAGCUUGGGCCUACACAGCCCCACUGCCAAAGCGGUGGGAGCUGAGCGCUCCGCCCCAGGUUAGUUGGGUGAUUUAUAGAUUCUGGUCCAUCCCAGCAUGCCCAAGGCAGGGGCAAUUCCUGCCUGGCAAGCAUCUAUUGGUCAAGAUGCUACAUUUUGAAUCGAUUGGCUAUAGGAAGGUUCCCAGACCAUUAAUGACCAGGUGUCUCUCCCUAGGGGAUGGUCCAGUUUCCUAGCAACUGUAUCUCUAGUGGGUGGGGAAAAAACGCAGUGAGGUAGCUCUCCCCUCAGGGAAUUUACCUACUCUACAUAGUCUUAACGAUCGCUGCUUAUCUUUUGGUCUCUCAUGGGCAACUAUUUCAAAUUUAAUCCUCAUAGGCCAAGCAAUAUGUCUUGUUUGUGGCUGGUUUGAUGCAACUUGUGCCUUAUGUGUGGACAUAUUCCACACCUCUGUUUCCUUAUGAUCCUCAACCAAUUGGCAAGUUCUGUCACCUGUCUGAGUCCUGAAUUCCACGAGAAUAAUUCUGUAGAUUUCUUGCUUGUGAAGAUGCCACCUUGGUCCAAUGGCUGGGUGGGUGGGAUUACGGUUUCUUUCUGGACAUUGUAGUCAAAUAAGAAGGUGUGAACAAUAUCCUGAGGGUUUUCUACAAGUAGGCAGACAGGUUUUGGUCCCUCUCUGUAUAUGUCUUAAGUUGA